Molecule: ribosomal RNA, 576 nt
Filed under: uncultured bacterium
Lineage: Bacteria
Description: bacterial SSU rRNA
Rfam family: Bacterial small subunit ribosomal RNA
Source: RNAcentral
CCUACGGGAGGCAGCAGUAAGGAAUAUUGGUCAAUGGACGAAAGUCUGAACCAGCCAUGCCGCGUGAAGGAUGAAGGCCCUCUGGGUUGUAAACUUCUUUUAUCUGGGACGAAAAAAGGGGAUUCUUCCUCACUUGACGGUACCAGAGGAAUAAGCACCGGCUAACUCCGUGCCAGCAGCCGCGGUAAUACGGAGGGUGCAAGCGUUAUCCGGAUUUACUGGGUUUAAAGGGUGCGUAGGUGGGUAAGUAAGUCAGUGGUGAAAUCUUCGAGCUUAACUCGGAAACUGCCAUUGAUACUAUUUAUCUUGAAUACUUUGGAGGUAAGCGGAAUAUGUCAUGUAGCGGUGAAAUGCUUAGAUAUGACAUAGAACACCAAUUGCGAAGGCAGCUUACUACACAGUCAUUGACACUGAGGCACGAAAGCGUGGGGAUCAAACAGGAUUAGAUACCCUGGUAGUCCACGCCCUAAACGAUGGAUACUCGACAUCAGCGAUACACUGUUGGUGUCUGAGCGAAAGCAUUAAGUAUCCCACCUGGAAGUACGAUCGCAAGAUUGAAACCUAAAGGAAUUGACG